This 720-nucleotide ribosomal RNA is filed under the name Bacillus sp. CX16. Its description in RNAcentral is "bacterial SSU rRNA". It matches the Rfam family "Bacterial small subunit ribosomal RNA", at positions 80 to 775 of the family's 1533-position model. Lineage: Bacteria; Bacillati; Bacillota; Bacilli; Caryophanales; Bacillaceae. The record is from RNAcentral.
UUGCUCUUAUGAAGUUAGCGGCGGACGGGCCCAGUAACACGUGGGUAACCUGCCCAUAAGACUGGGAUAACUCCGGGAAACCGGGGCUAAUACCGGAUAACAUUUUGAACUGCAUGGUUCAAAAUUGAAAGGCGGCUUCGGCUGUCACUUAUGGAUGGACCCGCGUCGCAUUAGCUAGUUGGUGAGGUAACGGCUCACCAAGGCAACGAUGCGUAGCCGACCUGAGAGGGUGAUCGGCCACACUGGGACUGAGACACGGCCCAGACUCCUACGGGAGGCAGCAGUAGGGAAUCUUCCGCAAUGGACGAAAGGUCUGACGGAGCAACGCCGUCGUGAAGUGAUGAAGGCCUUUCGGGUCGUAAAACUCUGUUGUUAGGGAAGAACAAGUGCUASUUGAAUAAGCUGGCACCCUUGACGGUACCUAACCAGAAAAGCCACGGCUAACUCCGUGCCAGCAGCCGCGGUAAUACGUAGGUGGCAAGCGUUAUCCGGAAUUAUUGGGCGUAAAGCGCGCGCAGGUGGUUUCUUAAGUCUGAUGUGAAAGCCCACGGCUCAACCGUGGAGGGUCAUUGGAAACUGGGAGACUUGAGUGCAGAAGAGGAAAGUGGAAUUCCAUGUGUAGCGGUGAAAUGCGUAGAGAUAUGGAGUAACACCCGUGGCGAACGCGAUUUUCUGGUCUGUUACUGACCCUGAGGCGCGAACACCUCGCGGAGCCAACAG